AUGAUAUCCUUUAUAGAUCAUUCCUGCAAUUCACUUACCUUAGCUGGAUUUUUCAACAUAAGAAAUUCUGACCAUAUUUACAUUCUUUUCCCAAAUUCUUUUUGUCAGAAACAUGUAACUGUGUUACAUAUGAAUUUCUGGUUACAGCUUGAUGCAACUGUUAGUGUAAAUGAUCUGCGGGCUCUAAACCUGCAUCAUGUAAACUAUAUACUUGAGUAG
This 219-nucleotide long non-coding RNA is filed under the name Vicia faba (fava bean). Lineage: Eukaryota; Viridiplantae; Streptophyta; Magnoliopsida; Fabales; Fabaceae. The record is from RNAcentral.